Non-coding RNA from Caerostris darwini, 100 nucleotides. The record is from the annotation of a GenBank genome assembly. NCBI's taxonomy places the organism in Eukaryota, Metazoa, Arthropoda, Arachnida, Araneae, Araneidae.
AACGGCCAUACCAUGCUGAAUAUGCUGUAACCGAAGUCAAGCAUCGUUGGGCGUGGUCAGUACUUGAGUGGGUGACCACCUGGGAACACCGCGUGCCGUU